CGACGGCCGCUUGCCGUGCAGGUUGCCGCCGCGUUCCGGGCCGCAGCAGUAGUCCCGAUCGAGGUCGGUAAGGUAAUACUUGGCGCCGGGCAUCGACAGCACGUCCGCGCAGCCGCCGCCGACGUAUUGUCCGCACUGCACGAACUUGGCCCGAUAGCCGGCCAGAUGCAGCGAGCUCUUGUGGUACUGCUUGUGGUGGUACCUGACCGGAUCGUCCAGGGUGUGCUGUUGCUGAUGAUGAUGAUGAUGAUGAUGAUCGGUGACCUGCACGUUCCUACCCUCUUGCUGAUCCGCGCUGCUUAUCGACAUGUCUACCGGCUCCGUGUCGUCUCGCAGAAGUCGCCUGCCGGGAUAAUCCAUCUGCGCGUUCUUCGAGGCGAUGUGCGACUCCGUUUCGGUCCGAUCCGGACGAAGGGAUGGCGAAUGCUGAGCGUCGCCAUCGUUGGAAUAGGUCCGAAUGUAUUCUUGGGUUUGAUUAGCAGCCUGACCCGUGGAAGGGUAGGCAAUGCCGCGACCUUGACCUCCGGGGCAGAGUCCGUAGGUGAAUUUAGUCUGAGAGGAAUACUGGUACAGCCACGAACUGGAGCGCAUUACUUCCGCCUCCUUGUCGCUGUAAUUAUUUAUGCUUAUGCAUGUAUGAGUGAAGAGAUGAAAGAGAUAAUUGUGCACAAACAACCGCGUAAACAUACGUGAGCACUUGAUUCGUGCAAACAAUGAUAGGAUGCUGGCACUCAUCGGAGGUAUCCUUGACCUGCAGCACGCAAUGUACCCAGAACCACCUCCCAGAGCGGCUCUGCAGCUUCAGGAGAGCGGUAGUGGAUCGCUCUUGAUCGGACUGAAUAACUAAAGUCGUGAAUCAGAAAUGGAAAAAAUUACUUUUCAGAAAAAGUAAAAGAAGUAAGCCGUCCUUAUGGAGUCCCAAUGAAGCAGAUUGUACCAGGAGAUGUUGAGCAAUUCGGCGCGAGUGUACUCCAGAUGACUUUCCGCGCUGCGAAGAAGAAGGACGAGUUUUGCGGAUAGCCUAAUUUCCUUAUAUUAUUUAGAUACUUCAUGUCCAUCGAGUGAAUCGUGGUGAAGAUGUUGGUCGCGCCCUGGACGAUGCUCUCUCGAGUCUCCGGCAGGACCACCGGGGUGCAGGAGGCCAGGAAGACGAACUCGUUGCGGUUGCAGACGGGCACGAACGGCAGGAAGUGACCCUCUACGAGGACUACCUGUUGUGGAAAUGGAUGAAUAAUGUGGGAAUAAUCGGCGGUCGUUUUAAUCACCUUUUGAUCGCCGAACCGUAGCUGCCUGCGAGAAUUCCUCGACACGUUGAUUCGACAGAGAAAGAGCCUCCUGUCACUCGGGAUCGGACUGUUUCUGGAUAAUUGAUUUUGCACGACUAUAUGAUCCUGCUUGUCGAUCACGUCGUACACGCUGUCCCCGUGGAUGACCGGACAUCGCCUGGAAAAGAGGCACGAACUGUGAUCCCACGGAUGGAUCCCGAGAGAUGUGACCGAGAUACCAGAGAGUAUUGAUUCCUCACAUGCUGUUCCUCUUACGCUUCACUGUGUCUCGGACCUUAAUCGCUCGCGAUCUUCCAGCGGAGAGGUUCGAGAGAGGAAAAAAGGAGGAAGAGAGAGAGAAAGAGAAAGAUACCCAUUUCAAUCUCUGCUUUUUCGCGCGCUCGCCACCCUCCUCGCUCGGGGGUUCCUCGAAAAAGUAAAGGGGAAAGAGGAACACGCAGACCAAGGCCAUAAGCUGCAGCUGGGAAAGCCUCUGGCGUGUCGAGGGCGGCAACGGCAGCAAGUCACGUAGAUUCGCGAUUUCGGCGUUUAUCAGGUCCCUUCGUAGUUUGCUGGCGCCUUUCGUAGACUUGCUCGCAUCUAUCCUUCAAGCACACGCUGACGUCACUUGUGUACGACACGUGCGUGACGCGCCAUAUGAUUUUUGCGCGCGAAAAAUCGCUGACGGCACCCACUGGAUCCACAUCAAGUAUUACACCUUGUACUUCGGCGAGAAACACUAAGGUACCCUUCGCGAUACCUCCCAGGUAGCAACCGUACGUCAUUUUGACGUUUAAUGACGUCAGUUUGACAUUUAAUGACGUCAGUUUGCUACUUGGGCUGCUAUGGAAGAGCAAUAACUCACCCCCGAAUCGACACUACUAGAAAGACCAGCAAUGAUUGAUAGGGGUUCUCCGUUCGGUCAAGCUUUUGUCGGUCGAUUCCUCGGGGGUGGUCUUUAACGCGGCUCAUUUAAUGCAUUCGAAGCGGGUGGUCCUCGCCAAAGUACCGGUUGACAAGUGUUAACGGAGAACGACGACGCUGGUCCCAUGGCUGUAACUUACCGAUUGAACAUAUUUCGGUGGCCAGGAAGACAUCAGUGGUCUAUCACCGGUGGACAGCGAGCGGGAGGACAUCCGGGUCGGCAGGUACUCGCGAAACUGCGGCUACGAUCUAACAUCCGGGUCAUAACGCGCUACUACACUGAACACGUGGAUGAACUGGCGGAGGCUGGUUCUCCUACCACCACCAACAAUCGCCUCCUCCUCCUCCUGGCUUCACCACCAUCACCUCCUUCAUCGUCCACCUACUACUACUUCGUCUUCGCAGACCUCUCUCCCUCUCGCUCCCGCUCGCUUCACCGAGGUCUUUCCUUCGCCUCCUUCUCUCCCUCGCAUCGGUUGAAGCUAUCUCUCGAACUCGCUUUUACACCCGCUAGAUGUAUUCACUCGCUCGCUCUUAGGUCACGAUCGAGAGUGCGGAGUCCUGGGUCUCUCUACCACCGCCACCAUCAUCGCCACCACCUCCGCUACCGGUUGCACGUCUCUCUCUCUCUUUCUCUUCUCUGUGUAGAUGCGGUUUCUGCGCGGGUUCGCGACCAUCGCGUGGCUCGGCUUGGCUUGACUUGAGAAAUUUUCGGGAGCUAUUAUGCAAUUCGAUCACCAAUCCAAGUCCAGGUACUUGGUCACCGACAGAAGGAAGCAUAUCGGUCGUUAUCUGUUUUAUGAAGAGUCGCCUGUUGUAAACAAUAAAACAAACAUAUAUUAAAAUGUAUGUUAAAUCAUA
This is a non-coding RNA of Nylanderia fulva, 3050 nucleotides long. NCBI's taxonomy places the organism in Eukaryota, Metazoa, Arthropoda, Insecta, Hymenoptera, Formicidae. The record is from RefSeq and is a predicted model, not a curated record.